UAGUCCACACCGUAAACGAUGCACACUAGGUGCUGGGAGUUAAUCUCAGUGCCGAAGCAAACGCAGUAAGUGUGCCGCCUGGGGAGUAUGCUCGCAAGGGUGAAACUCAAAGGAAUUGACGGGGGGCCCGCACAAGCGGUGGAGCAUGUGAUUUAAUUCGAUGAUACGCGAGUAACCUUACCAGGGCUUGACAUAUAAUAGACGAUCGUAGAGAUACGGUUCCCCUUCGGGGCUGUUAUACAGGUGCUGCAUGGCUGUCGUCAGCUCGUGCUGUGAAGUGUUGGGUUAAGUCCCGCAACGAGCGCAACCCCUGCUGUCUGUUGCUAACAUUAAGUUGAGGACUCGGACGGCACUGCCGGUGACAAACCGGAGGAAGGUGGGGGACGACGUCAAGUCAUCAUGGCCCUUAUGUCCUGGGGCUACACACGUGCUACAAUGGGCAAGUACAGAGUGAAGCGAAACGGGUGACGUGGGAG
Molecule: ribosomal RNA, 476 nt
Filed under: uncultured bacterium
Lineage: Bacteria
Description: bacterial SSU rRNA
Rfam family: Bacterial small subunit ribosomal RNA
Source: RNAcentral